ACGCUGGCGGCGUGCUUAACACAUGCAAGUCGAACGAUGAAGCCUAGCUUGCUAGGUGGAUUAGUGGCGAACGGGUGAGUAAUACGUGAGUAACCUACCUUUAACUCUGGGAUAAGCCUGGGAAACUGGGUCUAAUACCGGAUACGACCAAUCUCCGCAUGGGGUGUUGGUGGAAAGCGUUAUGUAGUGGUUAUAGAUGGGCUCACGGCCUAUCAGCUUGUUGGUGAGGUAACGGCUCACCAAGGCGACGACGGGUAGCCGGCCUGAGAGGGUGACCGGCCACACUGGGACUGAGACACGGCCCAGACUCCUACGGGAGGCAGCAGUGGGGAAUAUUGCACAAUGGGCGCAAGCCUGAUGCAGCGACGCCGCGUGAGGGAUGACGGCCUUCGGGUUGUAAACCUCUGUUAGCAGGGAAGAAGAGAGAUUGACGGUACCUGCAGAGAAAGCGCCGGCUAACUACGUGCCAGCAGCCGCGGUAAUACGUAGGGCGCGAGCGUUGUCCGGAAUUAUUGGGCGUAAAGAGCUUGUAGGCGGUUUGUCGCGUCUGCUGUGAAAGGCCGGAGCUUAACCCCGUGUAUUGCAGUGGGUACGGGCAGACUAGAGUGCAGUAGGGGAGACUGGAAUUCCUGGUGUAGCGGUGGAAUGCGCAGAUAUCAGGAGGAACACCGAUGGCGAAGGCAGGUCUCUGGGCUGUAACUGGCGCUGAGAAGCGAAAGCAUGGGGAGCGAACAGGAUUAGAUACCCUGGUAGUCCAUGCCGUAAACGUUGGGCACUAGGUGUGGGGGACAUUCCACGUUUUCCGCGCCGUAGCUAACGCAUUAAGUGCCCCGCCUGGGGAGUACGGCCGCAAGGCUAAAACUCAAAGAAAUUGACGGGGGCCCGCACAAGCGGCGGAGCAUGCGGAUUA
RNAcentral lists this ribosomal RNA (910 nucleotides) under uncultured bacterium. RNAcentral describes it as "bacterial SSU rRNA". It matches the Rfam family "Bacterial small subunit ribosomal RNA", at positions 33 to 948 of the family's 1533-position model. The record is from RNAcentral.